RNAcentral lists this ribosomal RNA (544 nucleotides) under Conus stercusmuscarum. Its description in RNAcentral is "partial 16S ribosomal RNA". It matches the Rfam family "Bacterial large subunit ribosomal RNA", at positions 1802 to 2619 of the family's 2925-position model. The record is from RNAcentral. Lineage: Eukaryota; Metazoa; Mollusca; Gastropoda; Neogastropoda; Conidae.
GUUUACCAAAAACAUGGCUUCGUGUAAUAAUUAAAUGCGAAGUCGGACCUGCCCAGUGAAAUUUUAAACGGCCGCGGUACUCUGACCGUGCAAAGGUAGCAUAAUCAUUUGCCUUAUAAUUGAAGGCUGGAAUGAAUGGUUUGACAAGAAUACAACUGUCUCUUUUUGAUUGUUUAGAAUUUUAUUUUUGGAUGAAAAAGUCCAGAUAUUAUUAAAAGACAAGAAGACCCUAUCGAGCUUUAGAAAAAUUAAUAGGUUUAAUAUAUACUAAUAUAAGUAAAAAGUAUAACUAUUAAAUACUUUGGUUGGGGCAACCGAGGAGUAAAUAAAGCCUCCUUUGUUAUGUAAGUCUUACUUGCGUUGAUCCAGGAGUUUUGAUUAAAGAAAUUAGUUACCGUAGGGAUAACAGCAUUAUCUUUUUUAAGAGCCCAUAUCGAAAAAAAGGUUUGUGACCUCGAUGUUGGACCAGAAUGUCCUAAAGAUGCAGAAGUCUUUAAGGGUUGGUCUGUUCGACCAUUAAAAUUCUACGAUCAGUUCAGACCGG